UCGAGAAUAAUUCGCAAUGGACGAAAGUCUGACGAUGCGACGCCGCAUGAACGAUGAAGGCCUUCGGGUUGUAACGUUCUGUUGCCCUAGAACAAGAGUGACUGACGAAUAGGUGGUCACGAUGAGGGUAUAGGGAGAGGAAGCACCGGCUAAUUCCGUGCCAGCAGCUGCGGUAAUACGGAGGGUGCAAGCGUUAUUCGGAUUUAUUGGGCGUAAAGGGCGCGUAGGCGGCUUAUCAGGUCGGAUGUGAAAGCCCGCAGCUUAACUGCGGAAGUGCAUCCGAAACCGGCAGGCUUGAGUAUGGGAGAGGGAAACGGAACUCCCGGUGUAGCGGUGAAAUGCGUAGAUAUCGGGAGGAACACCUGUGGCGAAAGCGGUUUCCCGGACCAAUACUGACGCUGAUGCGCGAAGGCGCGGGGAUCAAACA
Molecule: ribosomal RNA, 427 nt
Filed under: uncultured prokaryote
Description: bacterial SSU rRNA
Rfam family: Bacterial small subunit ribosomal RNA
Source: RNAcentral